This 1565-nucleotide long non-coding RNA is filed under the name Sus scrofa (pig). RNAcentral describes it as "lncRNA (ENSSSCG00040003412.1)". The record is from RNAcentral. Lineage: Eukaryota; Metazoa; Chordata; Mammalia; Artiodactyla; Suidae.
UUUUUUUUUUUUUUGUCUUUUUGCCUUUUCUGGGGCUGCUCCCAUGGCAUAUGGAGGUUCCCAGGCUAGGGGUCAAAUUGGAGCUACAGCCACAAGCCUAUGCCACAGCCAUAGCAGCGUGGGAUCCAAGUUGCAUCUGUGACUACAGCUCAGGGCAAUGCUGGAUCCUUAACCCACUGAGGGAGACCAGGGAUCAAACCCGCAACCUCAUGGUUCCUAGUUGGAUUUGUUUCCACUGCACCACUGUGGGAACUCCUUUUUUUUUUGCUUUUUAGGGCCAUACCCAGGGCAUAUGGAAGUUCCCAGACUAGGAGUCAAAUCAUAGCUGCAGCUGCAGGCCCACACAACAGCUAUAGCAAUGCAGCAUCGGAGCUGUGUGUCUGCCACCUACACCACAACUCACAGCAACGAUGGGUUCUUAACCCACUGACAGAGGCCAAGGAUGCAACCUGCAUCCUCACGGUUGCUAGUCCAGUUCAUAACUCAUUGAGCCACAGUGGGAACUCCUCUCCGGGUCAUUUUUUUAAGGGCACAACUCCAUUCACGAGGGCUCCACCCUUAUGAUGUCAUCCAAAGGCCCCAACCUUCUAAUACUUAGGGGGUUAGGAUCUCAACGUAUGAAUUGAGGGCUGGGGCAGGUGGUGGAGACAUAAACAUUUAGUCUAAUGGCCUGAAAAAAACUGAACUUUCUCACUCGCCUAAAAUCUGCUGCAGCACCAGCACUUCUGCAAUUAGUUCUUCCCCUGCAAUGACUUGGGAAUGUGGUUCUUUCCAGCUUGUGGCUCUGUUAUCUUAAUACUAAGUGCACCACACAAGCCAGAAAGAGCUGGAGGGUCAUGCAGUAGCCCUUGAAAGGUUGGUUUAGCCUGAAGGUGAGUCCUUCCAGCCCAUUGCCCAGAGCUAUUCAAAUGUCCAUGUGUAACUCUAAGGGAGCUAGGAACUAAGGAGUAACACAGGGCAUUCUAUGAGCAGGAAAUGUCUUUGCCCUCAUCUCAUUAAUGUAUCAAAUGCUGCGAUCUUGUCUCUUCCUUCCCCAGUCUAGUCACAGGCCAUCCACUUGUACCUUGGACUUGAACCUUCUGCCUUUAAAUCCACACAUUAUAGUUUAAUCCAAUUCUUGUCCUUUGGAGUGUUUUAUCUCCUGUCAGAUGACCCUGACUUUGCUCUUUUACAGGCAUGCCUCACAGCUGCAGAGUUUUCUCCCUCAUCCCCACUUUUGCAUUUAGUCAUCUUCCAGGAUCUACCCAGCUGAGAAUUGUCUGGAAAGACCCCCUAAGUUUUCUGCAAUUAAAAUUGAAGCUAUUGGGAGUUUCUGUCUUGGCUCAGUGGAAACGAAUCCAACUAGUAUGCAUGAGGAUGCGGGUUCAAUCCCUGGCUUCGCUCAUGGGCUGGGGAUUUGGCAUUGCUGUGAGCUGUGGUGUAGGUCACGGAUGGAGCUUGGAUCCUGCACGGCAGUGGUGGAGGCUGGCAGCUAUAGCUCAGAUUUUGACCUCUAGCCUGGGAACUUGCACAUCAUGCUGUGAGUUCAGCCCUAAAAAGCAAAAAAAAAAAAAAAAAAAAAAAAA